Molecule: ribosomal RNA, 1801 nt
Filed under: Bacillus pumilus
Lineage: Bacteria; Bacillati; Bacillota; Bacilli; Caryophanales; Bacillaceae
Description: partial 23S ribosomal RNA
Rfam family: Bacterial large subunit ribosomal RNA
Source: RNAcentral
AUGGUUAAGUUAGAAAGGGCGCACGGUGGAUGCCUUGGCACUAGGAGCCGAUGAAGGACGGGACGAACACCGAUAUGCUUCGGGGAGCUGUAAGCAAGCUUUGAUCCGGAGAUUUCCGAAUGGGGAAACCCACUGCUCGUAAUGGAGUAGUAUCCAUACUUGAAUACAUAGAGUAUGAGAAGGCAUACCCGGGGAACUGAAACAUCUAAGUACCCGGAGGAAGAGAAAGCAAAUGCGAUUCCCUGAGUAGCGGCGAGCGAAACGGGAACAGCCCAAACCAAGAGGCUUGCCUCUUGGGGUUGUAGGACACUCUAUACGGAGUUACAAAGGAACGAUAUAAGCGAAGAGGUCUGGAAAGGCCCGCCAAAGAAGGUAACAGCCCUGUAACUGAAAUGUUGUUCUCUCCAGAGUGGAUCCUGAGUACGGCGGAACACGUGAAAUUCCGUCGGAAUCCGGGAGGACCAUCUCCCAAGGCUAAAUACUCCCUAGUGACCGAUAGUGAACCAGUACCGUGAGGGAAAGGUGAAAAGCACCCCGGAAGGGGAGUGAAAUAGAUCCUGAAACCGUGUGCCUACAAGUAGUCAGAGCCCGUUAAAGGGUGAUGGCGUGCCUUUUGUAGAAUGAACCGGCGAGUUACGAUCCCGUGCAAGGUUAAGCAGAAGAUGCGGAGCCGCAGCGAAAGCGAGUCUGAAUAGGGCGCAUGAGUACGUGGUCGUAGACCCGAAACCAGGUGAUCUACCCAUGUCCAGGGUGAAGUUCAGGUAACACUGAAUGGAGGCCCGAACCCACGCACGUUGAAAAGUGCGGGGAUGAGGUGUGGGUAGGGGUGAAAUGCCAAUCGAACCUGGAGAUAGCUGGUUCUCUCCGAAAUAGCUUUAGGGCUAGCCUCAAGGUAAGAGUCUCGGAGGUAGAGCACUGAUUGGACUAGGGGCCCCUACCGGGUUACCGAAUUCAGUCAAACUCCGAAUGCCGAUGACUUAUCCUUGGGAGUCAGACUGCGAGUGAUAAGAUCCGUAGUCGAAAGGGAAACAGCCCAGACCGCCAGCUAAGGUCCCAAAGUAUACGUUAAGUGGAAAAGGAUGUGGAGUUGCUUAGACAACCAGGAUGUUGGCUUAGAAGCAGCCACCAUUUAAAGAGUGCGUAAUAGCUCACUGGUCGAGUGACUCUGCGCCGAAAAUGUACCGGGGCUAAACGUAUCACCGAAGCUGCGGACUGUUCUAACGAACAGUGGUAGGAGAGCGUUCUAAGUGCUGUGAAGUCAGACCGGAAGGACUGGUGGAGCGCUUAGAAGUGAGAAUGCCGGUAUGAGUAGCGAAAGACGGGUGAGAAUCCCGUCCACCGAAUGCCUAAGGUUUCCUGAGGAAGGCUCGUCCGCUCAGGGUUAGUCGGGACCUAAGCCGAGGCCGAAAGGCGUAGGCGAUGGACAACAGGUUGAUAUUCCUGUACCACCUCCUCACCAUUUGAGCAAUGGGGGGACGCAGGAGGAUAGGGUAAGCGCGGUAUUGGAUAUCCGCGUCCAAGCAGUUAGGCUGGGAAAUAGGCAAAUCCGUUUCCCGUGAAGGCUGAGCUGUGAUGGCGAGCGAAAUUUAGUAGCGAAGUUCCUGAUUCCACACUGCCAAGAAAAGCCUCUAGCGAGGUGAGAGGUGCCCGUACCGCAAACCGACACAGGUAGGCGAGGAGAGAAUCCUAAGGUGAUCGAGAGAACUCUCGUUAAGGAACUCGGCAAAAUGACCCCGUAACUUCGGGAGAAGGGGUGCUUCUUAGGGUGUUAAAGCCCCGAGAAGCCGCAGUGAAUAGGCCC